Molecule: long non-coding RNA, 1477 nt
Organism: Stegostoma tigrinum
Lineage: Eukaryota; Metazoa; Chordata; Chondrichthyes; Orectolobiformes; Stegostomatidae
Exons: 3
Source: RefSeq, a predicted model, not a curated record
UCAAGUGAAGCCUGGGUCCAAAUCUCCCUGAGACUUUGUGCACCCACUUCAGAAAAUCUGCAUACUCAGUGCAUACAGGCCUAUUUAAGUGCUGUCAGAUUCAAUGUAUAUUGGCCCAAUGGCUUGUUAUUACAUUCAGUGUGUCCUUGUGUCAGGUUCAUUUUCAGAAACCCUCACGGACUUGAUGCAAUAGCAAGACACUGACCUGGUUGGCGACAGAAACACAGGCCAUUAUUAUUUAGAAAGUACAAACUGUGGAGGAUCGCUGUACUCAACCCGGCACAGAGCACUGUGUUCCAUAAGCGAUUCUCCCCAAACAGCGAACAGUCUCUGCUUUUUAUACUUUACAUACAAAUUGGCUAAUACAAACAAUUAAUACAUUUGUAAUGUAAAGAGAGCAGGAUGCAGCAUUGAUCGUUCGUGAAGUGAGUGAUUAUGGCAGGAUGCGUUUUCAAGUUGCCGAAGUGACAGAAUGCAAUUUCAAGCCGCCGACGUGUCUGGCUUGAACAAAAGGCCACUGACCUGGCCACUACAGUAUAAACAGAAGUUUAAUUCUUUUACAGAAGUUUCAUGCUCUUACAGAAGUUUUAUUCCCUUACAGAAUUACAGAUGUCUCACCUUUACAAACAUUUCCCACCCAAUCCUAUUCAGGCGGGAAGUUUAAGACAGUUUCUACAUACCCAUGUGUCGUAAGAUAAGGUGCAUAAAUUCCACGUACCCCUGUGUAGGAAGUAUCUACUUGAGGAAUCAUUCUGGAUAUUUAUGUUUCAUGUCUCAGAAUUUUCAAAAACACAAAGAUCAUUGUCAACUGACAUAGUUUUCUGCUACAAGUUCAAGCUGUGUCCUUCUGAUUUUGUAAUUAGUGCCAUGGCCAACAGCAAAUCAUCUAUGCAACUUGAAAUAACAACAUUCAUCAAAAAAAGUAACUCUGGCAAACAGCAUUCACAGCGACUUGAGCUGUCUUGACAAAGUACAAUUCAGCUGACAACCAGAGGCAUGCCUAAGUGUGGUGUGAAAAGUUAUACAACGAAAGAAAAAAAUAGCAGAGCAAAUUCAAAGAUCAUUUAGCAAUCCUUGAGCGAUAAAGGAUUUCUACAAGUGAUGGUUUUAUCUUUGUUUCCCUCAAAAUGGUGAAAUUCACCAAAAAAAUCCAAUGGAAGAUUUAUCACUCGUUGUUACUUGUAAACGUGCCGAAUGAGUCAGGCGAUUGACUUGAAAUUGGCAUAUUUUGUCCAAAUCCUGCCAACUAAGGCUAACUUGUUACAAAAUCCGGCCUUCAUGAUGCUUAACUAAACACAGGGAAAGCCUUUCAGACACAUUAUUUUUCUUUGUCAUUCUGUUCUUAACAUUUAGGAGGUUUGUUUCAUGAAAUGGUGCAUCAGUUAGCAUAAUUGCCUAUAUUCUCACUUUCUGCCUGUUUGUCUUUUCAGAAACUUGUUUAAACUCUUCACAACACUGUUGUAGUUUUCUAUUAAGU